AUACGGGGGGGGCAAGCGUUGUUCGGAAUUACUGGGCGUAAAGCGCGUGUAGGCGGCUUUUUAAGUCAGACGUGAAAGCCCUAGGCUUAACCUAGGAAUUGCGCUUGAUACUGUAGAGCUAGAGUGUGGAAGGGGCUACUGGAACUCCGUGUGUAGCGGUGAAAUGCGUAGAUAUACGGAGGAACACCUGCGGCGAAGGCGGGUAGCUGGGCCAACACUGACGCUGAGACGCGAAAGCUAGGGGAGCAAACGG
This 253-nucleotide ribosomal RNA is filed under the name uncultured prokaryote. Its description in RNAcentral is "partial 16S ribosomal RNA". It matches the Rfam family "Bacterial small subunit ribosomal RNA", at positions 523 to 775 of the family's 1533-position model. The record is from RNAcentral.